GAUGAACGCUGGCGGCGUGCCUAAUACAUGCAAGUCGAGCGAACAGACGAGGAGCUUGCUCCUCUGACGUUAGCGGCGGACGGGUGAGUAACACGUGUAUAACCUACCUAUAAUACUGGGAUAACUUCGGGAAACCGGAGCUAAUACCGUAUAAUAUAUUGAACCGCAUGGUUCAAUAGUGAAAGACGGUUUUGCUGUCACUUAUAGAUGGUUCCGCGCCGCAUUAGCUAGUUGGUAAGGUAACGGCUUACCAAGGCAACGAUGCGUAGCCGACCUGAGAGGGUGAUCGGCCACACUGGAACUGAGACACGGUCCAGACUCCUACGGGAGGCAGCAGUAGGGAAUCUUCCGCAAUGGGCGAAAGCCUGACGGAGCAACGCCGCGUGAGUGAUGAAGGUCUUCGGAUCGUAAAACUCUGUUAUUAGGGAAGAACAAAUGUGUAAGUAACUAUGCACGUCUUGACGGUACCUAAUCAGAAAGCCACGGCUAACUACGUG
RNAcentral lists this ribosomal RNA (497 nucleotides) under uncultured bacterium. RNAcentral describes it as "partial 16S ribosomal RNA". It matches the Rfam family "Bacterial small subunit ribosomal RNA", at positions 28 to 507 of the family's 1533-position model. The record is from RNAcentral.